AGAUCCCAAAGUUUUCCCAAAAUCCCAAAGUUCCCGCAGCCUCCCGAGCUGCGCGGCCGGGCCGGGCCCGCCUUUAGACAGAGCUUAGCCAGGCCCGGCUCCCGCUGGAAUUCCCGGAAGGAAAAAGCAGGAGGAAGGAAGGAAAAAAAAAAAAAAAAGGUAAACCGGGAUUUGGGAAUUUUUUCCCUCUUUUCUUCCCCCCUCCCCCGCUUUGAUGCUCUUGGGGUUGUUUCGUCUCCCGGCGCCGGCGGAGAAUUCCAAGCCGCGGGGAUCCCGGUGGGGGAGGGGCGGCCAUGGCCCCCAACGGCUCGGCGGGAAUUCGGGAUUCGCCCCUGGAGCCGGGGAUUUUCCUGGACGAGGAUUUGGGAUCCGACUGGUACAUCGACGAGUCCACCGAGUCCGCGGUCCAGGAUGACCUUUUUCCCGACGCCAUCCCGGAAUGCCAGCCCACAAUCUCCCCCCGGAUGUACCACACCGUCAUGGCUCCCAUUUCCCUGGCCGUGCUCCUGGCCUUGUCCUUCCUGGUCAAGCGCCGCCGGCUCCACCGGAACUGCUGGAACGGCAUCCCGGGAUUCUUCAGCCCCGGGCCGGCGCUGGAUCAGGAGGGGCCGCGCGCGGUGCCGGCGGCGGCGCUGG
RNAcentral lists this long non-coding RNA (636 nucleotides) under Chloebia gouldiae (Gouldian finch). RNAcentral's name for it is "Erythrura gouldiae (Gouldian finch) lncRNA (ENSEGOG00005016041.1)". Lineage: Eukaryota; Metazoa; Chordata; Aves; Passeriformes; Passeridae. The record is from RNAcentral.